Molecule: ribosomal RNA, 379 nt
Filed under: uncultured eukaryote
Lineage: Eukaryota
Description: partial 18S ribosomal RNA
Rfam family: Eukaryotic small subunit ribosomal RNA
Source: RNAcentral
CAAUAGCGUAUAUUUAAGUUGUUGCAGUUAAAAAGCUCGUAGUUGGAUUUCGGAUGGGACUUGCCGGUCCGUCGUUUCGAUGUGCACUGGCCAGUCCUAUCUUGUUGUCGGGGACUAGCUCCUGGGCUUCACUGUCCGGGACUAGGAGCUGACGAGGUUACUUUGAGUAAAUUAGAGUGUUCAAAGCAAGCCUACGCUCUGAAUACAUUAGCAUGGAAUAACACGAUAGGACUCUGGCUUAUCUUGUUGGUCUGUGAGACCAGAGUAAUGAUUAAGAGGGACAGUCGGGGGCAUUCGUAUUUCAUUGUCAGAGGUGAAAUUCUUGGAUUUAUGAAAGACGAACUUCCGCGAAAGCAUUUGUCAAGGAUGUUUUCAUUAA